AGAGUUUGAUCCUGGCUCAGGAUGAACGCUGGCGGCGUGCUUAACACAUGCAAGUCGAACGAAGCACUUUAACCUGAUUCUUCGGAUGAAGGUUUUUGUGACUGAGUGGCGGACGGGUGAGUAACGCGUGGGUAACCUGCCUCAUACAGGGGGAUAACAGUUAGAAAUGACUGCUAAUACCGCAUAAGACCACGGAGCCGCAUGGCUCAGUGGGAAAAACUCCGGUGGUAUGAGAUGGACCCGCGUCUGAUUAGGUAGUUGGUGGGGUAACGGCCUACCAAGCCAACGAUCAGUAGCCGACCUGAGAGGGUGACCGGCCACAUUGGGACUGAGACACGGCCCAAACUCCUACGGGAGGCGGCAGUGGGGAAUAUUGCACAAUGGGGGAAACCCUGAUGCAGCGACGCCGCGUGAGCGAAGAAGUAUUUCGGUAUGUAAAGCUCUAUCAGCAGGGAAGAAAAUGACGGUACCUGACUAAGAAGCACCGGCUAAAUACGUGCCAGCAGCCGCGGUAAUACGUAUGGUGCAAGCGUUAUCCGGAUUUACUGGGUGUAAAGGGAGCGUAGACGGCUGUGUAAGUCUGAAGUGAAAGCCCGGGGCUCAACCCCGGGACUGCUUUGGAAACUAUGCAGCUAGAGUGUCGGAGAGGUAAGUGGAAUUCCCAGUGUAGCGGUGAAAUGCGUAGAUAUUGGGAGGAACACCAGUGGCGAAGGCGGCUUACUGGACGAUGACUGACGUUGAGGCUCGAAAGCGUGGGGAGCAAACAGGAUUAGAUACCCUGGUAGUCCACGCCCUAAACGAUGUUAACUAGUUGUUGGGAUGUAACAAUCUCAGUAACGCAGCCAACGCGAGAAGUUAACCGCCUGGGAAGUACGGUCGCAAGACUAAAACUCAAAGGAAUUGACGGGGACCCGCACAAGCGGUGGAUGAUGUGGAUUAAUUCGAUGCAACGCGAAAAACCUUACCUACCCUUGACAUGUCAGGAAGCUCUUGUAAUGAGAGCGUGCCCGCAAGGGAGCCUGAACACAGGUGCUGCAUGGCUGUCGUCAGCUCGUGUCGUGAGAUGUUGGGUUAAGUCCCGCAACGAGCGCAACCCUUGUCACUAGUUGCUACGAAAGGGCACUCUAGUGAGACUGCCGGUGACAAACCGGAGGAAGGUGGGGAUGACGUCAAGUCCUCAUGGCCCUUAUGGGUAGGGCUUCACACGUCAUACAAUGGCGUAAACAAAGGGAAGCGAACCUGCGAGGGUGGGCAAAUCCCAAAAAUAACGUCCCAGUUCGGACUGUAGUCUGCAACCCGACUACACGAAGCUGGAAUCGCUAGUAAUCGCGGAUCAGAAUGCCGCGGUGAAUACGUUCCCGGGUCUUGUACACACCGCCCGUCA
Molecule: ribosomal RNA, 1384 nt
Filed under: uncultured bacterium
Lineage: Bacteria
Description: bacterial SSU rRNA
Rfam family: Bacterial small subunit ribosomal RNA
Source: RNAcentral